AGAGUUUGAUCCUGGCUCAGGAUGAACGCUAGCGGCAGGCUUAAUACAUGCAAGUCAAGGGGUAGCAAUACACCGGCGGACGGGUGCGUAACGCGUACACAACAUACCCUUAAGCGGGGGAUAGCAUUGGGAAACUGAUGGUAAUACCCCAUGGUGUUGGAUCAUGGCAUCAUGAUUCAACUAAAGGUUACACUUGAGGAUUGGUGUGCGUAUGAUUAGCUAGUUGGUAGGGUAACGGCCUACCAAGGCGAUGAUCAUUAGGGGGUGUGAGAGCAUGACCCCCCACACGGGUACUGAGACACGGACCCGACUCCUACGGGAGGCAGCAGUAAGGAAUAUUGGACAAUGGUCGGAAGACUGAUCCAGCCAUGCCGCGUGAAGGACGAAGGCGCUCUGCGUUGUAAACUUCUUUUGGACAGGAACAAAAAGUCGGAUGCGUCCGGCCCUGAGGGUACUGUCAGAAUAAGCACCGGCUAACUCCGUGCCAGCAGCCGCGGUAAUACGGAGGGUGCAAGCGUUAUCCGGAAUCACUGGGUUUAAAGGGUGCGUAGGCGGUUCGUUAAGUCAGUUGUGAAAUUCCCCCGC
RNAcentral lists this ribosomal RNA (585 nucleotides) under uncultured bacterium. RNAcentral describes it as "bacterial SSU rRNA". It matches the Rfam family "Bacterial small subunit ribosomal RNA", at positions 8 to 608 of the family's 1533-position model. The record is from RNAcentral.